This 29-nucleotide non-coding RNA is filed under the name Rattus norvegicus (Norway rat). The record is from RNAcentral. Lineage: Eukaryota; Metazoa; Chordata; Mammalia; Rodentia; Muridae.
UAAGACAAGGCUAGCAGUGAACUCAGAGA